AAUAUAUUAAUUUAAAAAAGAAAUAUAAUAAAAAAGCUUAAAAAAAAUAAAAAAAUAAAAGUAAAAAAAAUAAAAAUAAUAAAAAUAAAAAUAAUAAAAAUAAAAAUAAUAAAAAUAAAAAUAAUAAAAAUAAAAAUAAUAAAAAUAAAAAUAAUAAAAAUAAAAAUAAUAAAAAUAAAAAUAAUAAAAAUAAAAAUAAUAAAAAAUAAAUAAAUUUAUAAAAAAUUAAUUAAAAUUAUAUAUAUUA
RNAcentral lists this transfer RNA (247 nucleotides) under Metarhizium anisopliae. RNAcentral's name for it is "tRNA-Phe". The record is from RNAcentral. Lineage: Eukaryota; Fungi; Ascomycota; Sordariomycetes; Hypocreales; Clavicipitaceae.